This 1528-nucleotide ribosomal RNA is filed under the name Klebsiella pneumoniae. RNAcentral describes it as "bacterial SSU rRNA". It matches the Rfam family "Bacterial small subunit ribosomal RNA". RNAcentral also lists the same sequence under 1 other name. The record is from RNAcentral. Lineage: Bacteria; Pseudomonadati; Pseudomonadota; Gammaproteobacteria; Enterobacterales; Enterobacteriaceae.
AGAGUUUGAUCAUGGCUCAGAUUGAACGCUGGCGGCAGGCCUAACACAUGCAAGUCGAGCGGUAGCACAGAGAGCUUGCUCUCGGGUGACGAGCGGCGGACGGGUGAGUAAUGUCUGGGAAACUGCCUGAUGGAGGGGGAUAACUACUGGAAACGGUAGCUAAUACCGCAUAAUGUCGCAAGACCAAAGUGGGGGACCUUCGGGCCUCAUGCCAUCAGAUGUGCCCAGAUGGGAUUAGCUAGUAGGUGGGGUAAUGGCUCACCUAGGCGACGAUCCCUAGCUGGUCUGAGAGGAUGACCAGCCACACUGGAACUGAGACACGGUCCAGACUCCUACGGGAGGCAGCAGUGGGGAAUAUUGCACAAUGGGCGCAAGCCUGAUGCAGCCAUGCCGCGUGUGUGAAGAAGGCCUUCGGGUUGUAAAGCACUUUCAGCGGGGAGGAAGGCGAUAAGGUUAAUAACCUUGGCGAUUGACGUUACCCGCAGAAGAAGCACCGGCUAACUCCGUGCCAGCAGCCGCGGUAAUACGGAGGGUGCAAGCGUUAAUCGGAAUUACUGGGCGUAAAGCGCACGCAGGCGGUCUGUCAAGUCGGAUGUGAAAUCCCCGGGCUCAACCUGGGAACUGCAUUCGAAACUGGCAGGCUAGAGUCUUGUAGAGGGGGGUAGAAUUCCAGGUGUAGCGGUGAAAUGCGUAGAGAUCUGGAGGAAUACCGGUGGCGAAGGCGGCCCCCUGGACAAAGACUGACGCUCAGGUGCGAAAGCGUGGGGAGCAAACAGGAUUAGAUACCCUGGUAGUCCACGCCGUAAACGAUGUCGAUUUGGAGGUUGUGCCCUUGAGGCGUGGCUUCCGGAGCUAACGCGUUAAAUCGACCGCCUGGGGAGUACGGCCGCAAGGUUAAAACUCAAAUGAAUUGACGGGGGCCCGCACAAGCGGUGGAGCAUGUGGUUUAAUUCGAUGCAACGCGAAGAACCUUACCUGGUCUUGACAUCCACAGAACUUUCCAGAGAUGGAUUGGUGCCUUCGGGAACUGUGAGACAGGUGCUGCAUGGCUGUCGUCAGCUCGUGUUGUGAAAUGUUGGGUUAAGUCCCGCAACGAGCGCAACCCUUAUCCUUUGUUGCCAGCGGUUAGGCCGGGAACUCAAAGGAGACUGCCAGUGAUAAACUGGAGGAAGGUGGGGAUGACGUCAAGUCAUCAUGGCCCUUACGACCAGGGCUACACACGUGCUACAAUGGCAUAUACAAAGAGAAGCGACCUCGCGAGAGCAAGCGGACCUCAUAAAGUAUGUCGUAGUCCGGAUUGGAGUCUGCAACUCGACUCCAUGAAGUCGGAAUCGCUAGUAAUCGUAGAUCAGAAUGCUACGGUGAAUACGUUCCCGGGCCUUGUACACACCGCCCGUCACACCAUGGGAGUGGGUUGCAAAAGAAGUAGGUAGCUUAACCUUCGGGAGGGCGCUUACCACUUUGUGAUUCAUGACUGGGGUGAAGUCGUAACAAGGUAACCGUAGGGGAACCUGCGGUUGGAUCACCU